This 497-nucleotide ribosomal RNA is filed under the name uncultured bacterium. RNAcentral's name for it is "partial 16S ribosomal RNA". It matches the Rfam family "Bacterial small subunit ribosomal RNA", at positions 28 to 507 of the family's 1533-position model. The record is from RNAcentral.
GAUGAACGCUGGCGGCGUGCCUAAUACAUGCAAGUCGAGCGAACAGACGAGGAGCUUGCUCCUCUGACGUUAGCGGCGGACGGGUGAGUAACACGUGGAUAACCUACCUAUAAGACUGGGAUAACUUCGGGAAACCGGAGCUAAUACCGGAUAAUAUAUUGAACCGCAUUGUUCAAUAGUGAAAUACGGUUUUUCUUUCGCUUAUAGAUUGAUCCGCGCCGCAUUAGCUAGUUGGUAAGGUAACGGCUUACCAAGGCGACGAUGGGUAGCCGACCUGAGAGCGUGGACGGCCACCCUGGAACUGAGACACGGCCCAGACUCCGACGGUGGGCAGCAGUAGGGAAUCUUCCGCAAGGGGGGAAAGCCUGACGGAGCAACGCCGCGUGAGUGAUGAAGGUCUUCGGAUCGUAAAACUCUGUUAUUAGGGAAGAACAAAUGUGUAAGUAACUAUGCACGUCUUGACGGUACCUAAUCAGAAAGCCACGGCUAACUACGUG